UCGUGUUCUUCUUCUUGCGUCGAC
Molecule: non-coding RNA, 24 nt
Filed under: Arabidopsis thaliana (thale cress)
Lineage: Eukaryota; Viridiplantae; Streptophyta; Magnoliopsida; Brassicales; Brassicaceae
Source: RNAcentral